RNAcentral lists this ribosomal RNA (440 nucleotides) under uncultured bacterium. RNAcentral describes it as "partial 16S ribosomal RNA". It matches the Rfam family "Bacterial small subunit ribosomal RNA", at positions 338 to 795 of the family's 1533-position model. The record is from RNAcentral.
CCUACGGGUGGCAGCAGUGGGGAAUAUUGCACAAUGGGGGAAACCCUGAUGCAGCGACGCCGCGUGAGUGAAGAAGUAUUUCGGUAUGUAAAGCUCUAUCAGCAGGGAAGAAAAUGACGGUACCUGAUUAAGAAGCCCCGGCCAACUACGUGCCAGCAGCCGCGGGAAUACGGAGGGGGCAAGCGUUAUCCGGAUGUACUGGGUGUAAAGGGCACGUAGGCGGCGUCGCAAGUCUGAAGUGAAAGCCCGGGGCUCAACCGUGGAACCGCUUGGGAAACUGCGAGGCUGGAGUGCUGGAGAGGUAAGCGGAAUUCCUGGUGUAGCGGUGAAAUGCGUAGAUAUCAGGAGGAAUACCGGUGGCGAAGGCGGCUUACUGGACAGUGACUGACGUUGAGGCUCGAAAGCGUGGGGAGCGAACAGGAUUAGAUACCCGAGUAGUC